ACGAACGCUGGCGGCAGGCUUAACACAUGCCAGUCGCGCGCCCCGCACGGGGAGCGGCCGACGGGUGAGUAACGCGUGGGAACGUACCUUUUGGUUCGGAACAACUCCGGGAAACUGGAGCUAAUACCGGAUAAGCCCUAACGGGGAAAGAUUUAUCGCCGAAAGAUCGGCCCGCGUCUGAUUAGCUAGUUGGUGAGGUAACGGCUCACCAAGGCGACGAUCAGUAGCUGGUCUGAGAGGAUGAUCAGCCACACUGGGACUGAGACACGGCCCAGACUCCUACGGGAGGCAGCAGUGGGGAAUAUUGGACAAUGGGCGCAAGCCUGAUCCAGCCAUGCCGCGUGAGUGAUGAAGGCCUUAGGGUUGUAAAGCUCUUUUGUCCGGGAAGAUAAUGACUGUACCGGAAGAAUAAGCCCCGGCUAACUUCGUG
RNAcentral lists this ribosomal RNA (430 nucleotides) under uncultured bacterium. RNAcentral describes it as "partial 16S ribosomal RNA". It matches the Rfam family "Bacterial small subunit ribosomal RNA", at positions 29 to 507 of the family's 1533-position model. The record is from RNAcentral.